UUCCAGACUCCUACGGGAGGCAGCAGUGGGGAAUAUUGCACAAUGGGGGAAACCCUGAUGCAGCGACGCCGCGUGAGCGAUGAAGUAUUUCGGUAUGUAAAGCUCUAUCAGCAGGGAAGAAAAUGACGGUACCUGACUAAGAGGCCCCGGCUAACUACGUGCCAGCAGCCGCGGUAAUACGUAGGGGGCAAGCGUUAUCCGGAUUUACUGGGUGUAAAGGGAGCGUAGACGGCUGUGCAAGCCAGAUGUGAAAGCCCGGGGCUCAACCCCGGGACUGCAUUUGGAACUGUGUGGCUGGAGUGUCGGAGAGGCAGGCGGAAUUCCUAGUGUAGCGGUGAAAUGCGUAGAUAUUAGGAGGAACACCAGUGGCGAGGGCGGCUUGCUGGGCUUUUACUGACGCUGAGGCUCGAAAGUGUGGGGAGCAAACAGGAUUAGAUACCCCUGUAC
Molecule: ribosomal RNA, 447 nt
Filed under: uncultured bacterium
Lineage: Bacteria
Description: bacterial SSU rRNA
Rfam family: Bacterial small subunit ribosomal RNA
Source: RNAcentral